UGGGCAGGGAUUGUGUGUAUCGGUGUUGUGCUACAAUCAUUGCAUUAUUCCGAAAGAGUUCCCUGCAAAACAAAUUUGGGGAAGAUGGGCAGUUGUGUUUCAGCUUGCUGUUGAAAAUAACAACAAUCAUCGCCACUACAUAU
Small nucleolar RNA from Vigna angularis (adzuki bean), 143 nucleotides. It matches the Rfam family "small nucleolar RNA snoR135". The record is from Rfam. NCBI's taxonomy places the organism in Eukaryota, Viridiplantae, Streptophyta, Magnoliopsida, Fabales, Fabaceae.